AGAAUCAACGCUGGCGGCGGUGCCUAACGACGAUGCAAGUCGAACGAGAAAGGGACUUCGGUCCUGAGUAUAGUGGCGCACGGGUGAGUAACACGUGAAUAAUCUACCUCCGAGUGGGGAAUAACCAAGAGAAAUCUUGGCUAAUACCGCAUAACACUUACGAGUCAAAGCAGCAAUGCGCUUGGAGAGGAGUUCGCGGCAGAUUAGUUAGUUGGCGGGGUAAUGGCCCACCAAGACGAUGAUCUGUAUCCGGCCUGAGAGGGCGCACGGACACACUGGAACUGAAACACGGUCCAGACUCCUACGGGAGGCAGCAGUGGGGAAUUUUGCGCAAUGGGGGAAACCCUGACGCAGCAACGCCGCGUGGAGGAUGAAGUAUCUCGGUACGUAAACUCCUUUCGAUGGGGAAGAUAAUGACGGUACCCAUAGAAGAAGCCCCGGCUAACUUCGCGCCAGCAGCCGC
Molecule: ribosomal RNA, 463 nt
Filed under: uncultured bacterium
Lineage: Bacteria
Description: SSU rRNA
Rfam family: Bacterial small subunit ribosomal RNA
Source: RNAcentral